AGUAAAGUCAGCUAAACAAGCUUUUAGGCUCAUGCCCUAAGCAUGACGGUGAAACCCCCUCCUUUGCUA
RNAcentral lists this transfer RNA (69 nucleotides) under Myctophum affine (metallic lantern fish). Its description in RNAcentral is "tRNA-Met". The record is from RNAcentral. Lineage: Eukaryota; Metazoa; Chordata; Actinopteri; Myctophiformes; Myctophidae.